RNAcentral lists this long non-coding RNA (251 nucleotides) under Panax ginseng (ginseng). Its description in RNAcentral is "long non-coding RNA (PGIN_LNC002406)". Lineage: Eukaryota; Viridiplantae; Streptophyta; Magnoliopsida; Apiales; Araliaceae. The record is from RNAcentral.
GUAUUUUGGGCCUUUAUUGAUCUUAUUACAAAUCCUUUUGUCCUGAACCGAUGCCAUUUAUAGUUUCCUAUUAAACCUCCUGUUUAAUAAAAAACUAGGGGGCAAUAUUGGGUCGUGAUAUUUCUCCUAUUGGGCCGGAUAAAUUGGGCCCAUUUAUCAGUAUAAUCUGUUGGGCUUUUAUUAUUAAACCAUGGGACUCUUUGAGCCCAUUUAUUGUGUCAACUUUAUUUAAUCCUGUUGGACCGGGUCAG